This 69-nucleotide transfer RNA is filed under the name Ascaphus truei (coastal tailed frog). RNAcentral's name for it is "transfer RNA-Arg". It matches the Rfam family "tRNA". From Rfam's summary of the family: Transfer RNA (tRNA) molecules are approximately 80 nucleotides in length. Lineage: Eukaryota; Metazoa; Chordata; Amphibia; Anura; Ascaphidae. The record is from RNAcentral.
GGGCAUUUAGUCUAAGUAAGACUGCUAAUUUCGACUUAGCCGAUUAAGGUUUAAACCCCUAACUACCCU